AGAGUUUGAUCAUGGCUCAGGACGAACGCUGGCGGCGUGCUUAACACAUGCAAGUCGAACGGAAAGGCCCUUCGGGGUACUCGAGUGGCGAACGGGUGAGUAACACGUGGGUGAUCUGCCCUGCACUCUGGGAUAAGCCUGGGAGACUGGGUCUAAUACCGGAUAGGACCGCAUGCUUCAUGGUGUGUGGUGCAAAGCUUUUGCGGUGUGGGAUGAGCCCGCGGCCUAUCAGCUUGUUGGUGGGGUAAUGGCCUACCAAGGCGACGACGGGUAGCCGGCCUGAGAGGGUGACCGGCCACACUGGGACUGAGAUACGGCCCAGACUCCUACGGGAGGCAGCAGUGGGGAAUAUUGCACAAUGGGCGCAAGCCUGAUGCAGCGACGCCGCGUGAGGGAUGACGGCUUUCGGGUUGUAAACCUCUUUCAGUAGGGACGAAGCGAAAGUGACGGUACCUACAGAAGAAGGACCGGCCAACUACGUGCCAGCAGCCGCGGUAAUACGUAGGGUCCGAGCGUUGUCCGGAAUUACUGGGCGUAAAGAGCUCGUAGGUGGUUUGUCGCGUUGUUCGUGAAAACUCACAGCUUAACUGUGGGCGUGCGGGCGAUACGGGCAGACUAGAGUACUGCAGGGGAGACUGGAAUUCCUGGUGUAGCGGUGGAAUGCGCAGAUAUCAGGAGGAACACCGGUGGCGAAGGCGGGUCUCUGGGCAGUAACUGACGCUGAGGAGCGAAAGCGUGGGUAGCGAACAGGAUUAGAUACCCCGGUAGUCCAA
RNAcentral lists this ribosomal RNA (773 nucleotides) under uncultured bacterium. RNAcentral describes it as "bacterial SSU rRNA". It matches the Rfam family "Bacterial small subunit ribosomal RNA", at positions 8 to 798 of the family's 1533-position model. The record is from RNAcentral.